Molecule: long non-coding RNA, 250 nt
Filed under: Gallus gallus (chicken)
Lineage: Eukaryota; Metazoa; Chordata; Aves; Galliformes; Phasianidae
Source: RNAcentral
CUUGUCAAUCUGAUUAUUUGUACUACUAGAUCUUGCCUCUUCAGACACACUCAUUUGAUUAGCUAUAUCCAAAGAUUUCUGUUGCUCUUGCAUGACAUGAAGUUGUUCAAGUUUUGUUUUAUGUUCUGCCUCCAAUCUAUUAAGCAUAUCUUUUAUAACACAAAUAAAAGAAUUGAACUGAUUGAGAUUAAGAUUAUUCUCAAUACUAAGGGGAAUUAGAUGGGGCAAUACUCUUCCUGCAAGUUGUUCU